This 107-nucleotide small nuclear RNA is filed under the name Spermophilus dauricus (Daurian ground squirrel). The record is from RNAcentral. Lineage: Eukaryota; Metazoa; Chordata; Mammalia; Rodentia; Sciuridae.
CUGUGCUUGCAUGCACACAUACUAAAAUAUUGGAAUGAUACAGAGUAGAUAAGCAUGGCCCCUGCGCAAGAGAUGACACACAAAUUCGUGAAGUGUUCCCCCAAAAA